Non-coding RNA from Hemicordylus capensis (graceful crag lizard), 72 nucleotides. The record is from the annotation of a RefSeq genome assembly. NCBI's taxonomy places the organism in Eukaryota, Metazoa, Chordata, Lepidosauria, Squamata, Cordylidae.
GGGGCUGUAGCUCAGUGGUAGAGCAUCUGCCCUUCAUGUAGAAGGUCCCAGGUUCGAUCCCUGGCAUCUCUA